GGAAACAACUGCCUACUGUGUUCCUCUGGACAGAGCAUCAGCCUGAAGUAGAAGUGAAAAGGGCACAAGCAGCUCUGGAUGGAAGCAGAGAAGAUUAACAGCAGAAAACUUGCAAGAAGAAAUAACUUUAAGCUUUGGGUUGUUCAUUUUGUGGGUUUGCUUUUUUUUUUUUUUUUUUUUUAAAAAAAAAAAAACAAACUAAAUAUUUCAUAUUUAUAUUCUUAUUACUUUAAACUCAACUGAAAGAAUUAAGCUUCUGCCUUAAUGGUGUUACUAUAUCCUGCAAAUCUAACUCAUGAUCCUGAAGCACUGGGCAACAAGAGCCAUUUUGGGUGCUCACACUUCUACUGAAGCCUGUCAGCUGGAAGCUCAGAUCUUCUUUUGAGACACCGCAUCUACAAGAGGAGCCCCAACACCUCAUCUCUUCUGAAGGAAGUAUGGGCGUAGGCUGGGCUUCUUGGAUUGGGGAAUGGAGACUUCUGAGAUGGUGAAGGCUAGAAGAAUGUGACUUCUGGCACUAAAAGGUGUUUCACCUGCAGAUUUGUGUCUACAGAAGAGGUUCAGCACCCUGAAUGGGUGGGCUGGGAGCUUUGUCUAGAAAAACAUCUCAGCCUGCUGAGUAUAAUCCUUGCAGCAGCAGGAGAAAGAGCAUAAUGUUGGUAGUGGGUGACUCCCUGCAAUCAGGAAGAGCAGCCCCCAUCUGCCAUCCUGACUUGUGAUCUCAGGAGACUGCUGCUUGCUGGGUUUUGGAUCCAGAACAUUGUGGAGAAACUGCAGAGUAUUGUCUGGCCCUUGAGCUAUUACUUUCCGAUGCUCUUCCACUUGAGCACCUCUUAACUGGGACUUGAAACAAUCUGAUAUCUGCUGAAAGAGCAACAUAAAAGAUCACAAGCAAUCCAGGAGGUUUCUGGAGUGCAUUGGUGAUAAAUUCCUGGCACACAUGAUGAAGGGGCCAGCAAAGGGAGGGGCUCUGCUGGAGCUGAUUAAUUCUAAUCUAUGAGGAAGAAUUGGUUCUGGAGUUGAAAGAUAGGGAUCACUUUAACAAUAAUGGCCAUGCUAUGAUGGAGUUUAGGAUUCUGAAGAGUGAGGACAGGGAAAACAGCAAGAACCUAGCCCUGGAUUUGAGGAGAGGGUAUGUUCCUCUUCAGUGGGACCCCAAAAGGCUGAAGAAAUGGAUUGACAGGCACCUCAUGAAGUUCAACAGAGGCAAAUGUAAAGCCCUGCACCCGGGGAGGAAGAAUCUCACGGCCUAGUACAGAGUGGGAACUGAAUAUCUGGAAAACAGUUUUGCAGAAAACAACCUGGGUGUACUAGUGGACAAGCUGAACAAUAAACAACUUGAAGCAAAGAAGGCCAAGUCUCUUGGGCUGCACCUGGGUGAACAUAGCCAGCCAGUCAAGGCCGGCAACCCUUUUCUACUCAGCACUGGUGAGGCACAUCCAGUUCUGGUCUCCCUGGUACAAGACAGACAUGGAAAUACUGGAACAAAUCUGGAAAAAGGCAAUGGAACAUCUGUCAUAUGAGGGGAGGCUGAGAGAGCUGGGACUGUUAAGGCUGGAGAAGAAAAGGGUCAGGAGAGAUCUUAUUAAUGUGUUUAAAUACCUGAUAGGUGGAGUAAAGAAGUUGAAGUCACACUCUUCUCAGUAAUAUCCAGUAACAACAUAAGAGGCAAUAGGCACAAAUAUAAAGGAAGGAAAAUUCACCUAAACAUAAGAAAAAUCUUCUUUACUAUGACAGUAAUUGAAAACUGGAACAGGUUGCACAGAAAGGUUAUAUUGAAAAUAUACAAAACUGGACAUGGCUUGGUAAAAACUGUUCUAGGCGACCUUGCUUUAAGCAGGGGGAUUGGACUAGAUGACCUGCAGACAUCCUUUUGAACCUCAGCUGUUCUGUGAUUGAAAAUAGUCCAUUAUUUUAACAGAAAUGAAAUAUGUAGUUUGCUAAACCUCAUGCUGAUUUUGAACUGUCCUUUAGGAAGGACAAAUAUCUUUAACUACUAAGAAUUAUAGAAUGUUAACUAAAUUACUGCGAAAGUUGCUUUGUGUUUUUAGGGAUUUCUGGCCUCUUUUUUCAGUUGUUUGAUUUUGUUUGGUCCCUAAUAUAAAGUAUCAGACAAUCCAAACAAAUGCUGUAUUGGUUGAAUAUAGCUACUGAAGUACUAAUGCAAAUGUUCCUCUUGUGAAACACAGAUGUUUUAUAAAAGGGGGAGGCAAGAAAAGAAUUCACUAGAUAAGCAGUAUAAGAAAAACCUGUCUUGUUUUAAUAUGAAUACAUAUUUACUUUUCCAUUCAAUUAUUCAAUUCAAAGACUGAUAAAUUAUAAAGAAUCCUCAGACUGUUAUUUCCUCAUCGUAGUUUCUAUGCUGGAAGCCUAAUAUACAGAUUUGGGAGGGUAUACAAAUAAACUUACUUUUGAAACUGUU
Columba livia (rock pigeon) is the source of this 2422-nucleotide long non-coding RNA. RefSeq lists it as uncharacterized. The transcript is spliced from 2 exons. Lineage: Eukaryota; Metazoa; Chordata; Aves; Columbiformes; Columbidae. The record is from RefSeq and is a predicted model, not a curated record.